GCGCGGGUGGCGAAACCGGUAGACGCAGCGGACUUAAAAUCCGCGGCCGCAGGGCAUGCGGGUUCGAGUCCCGCCCCGCGCACCA
This 85-nucleotide transfer RNA is filed under the name Burkholderiales bacterium. RNAcentral describes it as "tRNA-Leu". It matches the Rfam family "tRNA". Rfam says of the family: Transfer RNA (tRNA) molecules are approximately 80 nucleotides in length. Their secondary structure includes four short double-helical elements and three loops (D, anti-codon, and T loops). Lineage: Bacteria; Pseudomonadati; Pseudomonadota; Betaproteobacteria; Burkholderiales. RNAcentral also lists the same sequence under 4 other names. The record is from RNAcentral.